AACGCUGGCGGCGUGCCUAACACAUGCAAGUCGGAUGUGCCCGCAAGGGUGCAUGGCAGACGGGUGAGUAACACGUGGGGAACCUACCUCUUAGUGGGGAAUAACGCUCCGAAAGGAGUGGUAAUACCGCAUGAGACCGAUGGCUGGGAUGCUGUCGGUGAAACCUCGGGACCGCAAGGCCGGGGGCUAGGAGAGGGUCCUGCGUCUGAUUAGCUAGUUGGCGGGGUAACGGCCCACCAAGGCAUCGAUCAGUAGCCGGCCUGAGAGGGUGAUCGGCCACACUGGAACUGAGACACGGUCCAGACUCCUACGGGAGGCAGCAGUGGGGAAUUUUGCGCAAUGGGCGAAAGCCUGACGCAGCAACGCCGCGUGGGUGAUGAAGGUCUUCGGAUUGUAAAACCCUGUCGUCGGGGACGAAGGUGGCUUAGUUAAUAGCUGAGUUGCUUGACGGUACCCGGAGAGGAAGCCCCGGCUAACUCUGUGCCAGCAGCCGCGGUAAUACAGAGGGGGCAAGCGUUAUUCGGAAUUAUUGGGCGUAAAGGGCGCGUAGGCGGCUUUUUAAGUCAGAUGUGUAAUCCCCGAGCUCAACUUGGGAACUGCAUCUGAGACUGGGAGGCUAGAGUGCUGGAGAGGGUGGUGGAAUUCCUCGUGUAGCGGUGAAAUGCGUAGAGAUGAGGAGGAACACCAGUGGCGAAGGCGGCCACCUGGACAGUAACUGACGCUGAGGCGCGAAAGUGUGGGUAGCAAACAGGAUUAGAUACCCUGGUAGUCCACACUGUAAACGAUGAACACUUGGUGUGUCGGGAGUUGACCCCCGACGUGCCGGAGCUAACGCGUUAAGUGUUCCGCCUGGGGAGUACGGUCGCAAGGCUGAAACU
Molecule: ribosomal RNA, 878 nt
Filed under: uncultured bacterium
Lineage: Bacteria
Description: bacterial SSU rRNA
Rfam family: Bacterial small subunit ribosomal RNA
Source: RNAcentral